Molecule: ribosomal RNA, 395 nt
Filed under: Balgus eschscholtzi
Lineage: Eukaryota; Metazoa; Arthropoda; Insecta; Coleoptera; Elateridae
Also listed under: 1 other name
Description: partial 16S ribosomal RNA
Source: RNAcentral
UUUUGAUUUUAAUUUAAGGUUUGGCCUGCUCAAUGAUUUAUUAAAUUGCCGCGGUAUUUUGACCGUGCAAAGGUAGCAUAAUAAUUAGUUUUUUAAUUAAAAGCUUGAAUGAAUGGUUGGACGAGAAAAUAGCUGUCUCUUUAUUAUUAUUAUUGAAUUUAAUUUUUUAGUUAAAAAGCUGAGAUUUAAUUAAAAGACGAGAAGACCCUUUAGAGUUUUAUAGAUAAAGAUUAUGUUUAGUUAGGUAUUUUUUUUAUAUAGGAUUUAUUUAUUUGGUUGGGGUGACUGUAAGAUAAAAAUAACUCUUUUGUAUUGGAUCAUUGAUUUUUGAAUUUUUAAUCAAAAUUUUUUUAAAUUAAAAUAAAUUACCUAAGGGAUAACAGCGUUAUUCUUUC